This is a long non-coding RNA of Sardina pilchardus (European sardine), 1277 nucleotides long. RefSeq lists it as uncharacterized. The transcript has 5 exons. Lineage: Eukaryota; Metazoa; Chordata; Actinopteri; Clupeiformes; Clupeidae. The record is from RefSeq and is a predicted model, not a curated record.
UUGCAGCCGAGUGAGUGGUCUCGUCGCUACUGCGGACAAGAGCCGUCAAAAACUUCGCAUUGAAGUGACUCUUCACAUCACCUUCAAAAAAGCAAUAGUCUUUUUAAAGACUCUUCCCUUCCAUCUCUAUCCUCCAUCUCCACCUUCCCUUGUGGUGCAGAAGACUUUCUCCCAUCCGGUCUUCCCUUCAGGUGCUACAGACUUUUCAGAAAACAGACACACUCCAGUGCUGCUUCAAGACACAGCUGCCCUCAGUCCUGUGAGGUGGUGACAUCUCAGGCUCGUUCCAGACCAGCCUUCACCAGAGGGGUGUCCGUGUGAUACCUGUGGCACUGUGUCUUGUCUGUCUGUCUGUACGCACCUGUACACGUCUACGUCCGUCCACCCUACACGCAUACACACUAACAACAUUACUUGACAUCACUGCUGACAACAGAACCCACUUACCUACAUACCUGCAUACAUAUUGGUGACAAGAAUUCUUAACACUGUCUGAUUACAUACCUGCUGCACAUACCUGGCACAUACUUGAUCACAUACUGUUUGUCUUUGUCUGUGCACGAAAGAUACAUCACAGACAACAUUGCUGACAUCAUCUCUGACAUCAGAUUCUACUUAACCUACAUACCUGCAUACAUAUUGGUGACAAGAAUACUUAACACUGUCUGAUUACAUACCUGGCACAUACCUGAAUGCACAUACCUGCUGCACAUACUUGAACUAUACUCUGAAUCAAAGCCUAUACUCUGAAUCAAGCCUAUACUCUGAAUCAAAGCCAUACUCAGACUUGUACUUCUACUCUGAAUAAAACUUAUACUCUGAACUAUACUGAGAACUCCACCUGGGAACCAUUCAUACAGAGAGAUAUAUAAGUAUAUCUGUGGACUAUAUCUGUAAAUCGUACUUUUUAAACAUUUACACAUUUGAACAAUCUAUUCUGUGAAAACUUGCUGUACUGUUAACUCUGUGCUUUUAGACCUGAGCUGUCCUUCAAGACCUGCUUUGCUGUGUGAAGAUUUUCAUAUUCCAUCCAAGUUCUGCAUAACCUUGAACCAGCUGCCUCCAUCAUACAGUGUGACCUCAACAUAACCACUCCAGUGCUGCCUCUUCAGAAUUACCACUGAUACAGAUUCAGAUACAGAUACUGAUUCUGGAAUUCAAGCAUCAGACAAAGUUUUGAGCAUAUUUGUAUUGCAAUUCUGAAAUUGAAUUCUGAAAUUAAGUGUUAAACUUCAGUAGACAUUUGUUUAUUCCUGACCAGUUAAUUAUCAGUUAUC